This 222-nucleotide unclassified non-coding RNA is filed under the name Hevea brasiliensis (rubber tree). The record is from RNAcentral. Lineage: Eukaryota; Viridiplantae; Streptophyta; Magnoliopsida; Malpighiales; Euphorbiaceae.
GAUCACUUUCUCAAACCAAUAAGAAGAAUAUGCCUCAGUACUGAUAAAUGAAGUCAGACAAGAAUGAAAAUGUACGGCCAUGCACAGUUAUAUGCUAUAAAAUGUUUAGAUAGGUAGAUAUGUUUAUAGACUAGUAAAACAUAGCAAAAGCUGUUGUUUAUUAGAAGUUGUUUUCACCCUUUUGAAUUGUCAUAUCUAAUCAUUGGUUUAAAAUGUAAGAUA